GGUUGAUCCUNGCCGGACCCGACUGCUCUUUGGGUGGGAUUAAGCCAUGCGAGUUGAAUGAAAUGCGUAUUCAUUUCAUAGCAAACUGCUUAGUAACACAUGAUCAACCUACCCUAUGGAGGGCACUAACCUCGGGAAACUGAGGAUAAUGGCCCAUAGCAGAUUCGGCUUGGAAAAGUGUAUCUGUGAAAGGGAUGCGGAUGAGUCCGCUUGUGCCAUAGGAUGGGAUUGUGGUCGAUUAGGUAGUUGGUGAGGUAAUGGCUCACCAAGCCGAUAAUCGAUAGAGGCCGUGAGAGCGGGAGCCUCAAGAUGGGUACUGAGACAGCGACCCAGGCCCUACGGGGCGCAGCAGGCGCGAAACCUCCACAAUGCACGCAAGUGCGAUGGGGCUACCCAAAGUGCUCCACACGGAGCUGUGGUGGAUGAGUAAUGUUCUCCGCUAGAAAGGAGAGGGCAAGGCUGGUGCCAGCCGCCGCGGUAAAACCAGCUCUUCAAGUGGUCGGGAUAAUUAUUGGGCUUAAAGUGUCCGUAGCCGGUAUGGUAAGUUCCUGGUAAAAUUGGGCAGCUUAACUGUCCUUGUGCUAGGGAUACUGCUCUACUAGAGGGCGGGAGAGGUCUGAGGUACUACAGGGGUAGGGGUGAAAUCUUAUAAUCCUUGUAGGACCACCAGUGGCGAAAGCGUCAGACUGGAACGCGCCUGACGGUGAGGGACGAAAGCCAGGGGAGCGAACCGGAUUAGAUACCCGGGUAGUCCUGGCCGUAACGAUGCGCACUAGGUGAUGGUGCGGCUAUGAGCCGCAUCAGUGUCGUAGGGAAACCGUUAAGUGUGCCGCCUGGGAAGUACGGUCGCAAGGCUUAAACUUAAAGGAAUUGGCGGGGGAGCACCACAAGGGGUGAAGCCUGCGGUUCAAUUGGACUCAACGCCGGGCAACUUACCAGGGGAGACAGCAGAAUGAGGGUCAGGUUGACGACCUUACCUGACAAGCUGAGAGGAGGUGCAUGGCCGUCGCCAGUUCGUGCUGUGAGGUAUCCUGUUAAGUCAGGCAACGAACGAGACCCGCACCUUUAUUUGCCAGCAAGAAGUCACGACUUCGUUGGGAACGAUAAAGGGACCGCCGUCGAUAAGACGGAGGAGGGAGCGGGCAAAGGCAGGUCAGUAUGCCCCGAAACCCCUGGGCCACACGCGGGCUGCAAUGGUGCGAACAAUGGGCUGUGACUCCGAAAGGAGAAACCAAUCCCGAAAUCGCAUCUCAGUGGGGAUUGUCGACUGUAACUCGUUGACAUGAACGUGGAAUCCCUAGUAAUCGCGCGUCACCAUCGCGCGGUGAAUACGUCUCUGCUCCUUGCACACACCGCCCGUCGCUCCACCCGAGUGUGCUGGAAAUGAGGCACGGUCAGCAAUGGUCGCGUCGAGUUCUAGCAUGCGAGAGGAA
RNAcentral lists this ribosomal RNA (1433 nucleotides) under uncultured crenarchaeote. RNAcentral's name for it is "bacterial SSU rRNA". It matches the Rfam family "Archaeal small subunit ribosomal RNA". The record is from RNAcentral. Lineage: Archaea; Thermoproteati; Thermoproteota.